Molecule: ribosomal RNA, 1022 nt
Filed under: uncultured bacterium
Lineage: Bacteria
Description: bacterial SSU rRNA
Rfam family: Bacterial small subunit ribosomal RNA
Source: RNAcentral
UUAUCCGCGGACUUCAGAGAUUAGAGUUUGAUCAUGGCUCAGGGUGAAUGCUAGCGGUGCGCCUAACACAUGCAAGUCGAGCGAGAGUAGUAGCAAUGCUACAAAAGCGGCAGACGGGUGAGGAACACGUUGGUACCUCCCCUUUAGUCAGGGAUGGCCAGCCGAAAGGCUGAUUAAUACCGGAUAGUCUCUUCGGAGUAAAGAUUUAUCGCUAAAGGAAGGGCCUGCGUUCUAUCAGCUAGUUGGUGAGGUAAUAGCUCACCAAGGCUAUGACGGAUAGCUGAUCUGAGAGGAUGAUCAGCCACAAUGGAACUGAGACACGGUCCAUACUCCUACGGGAGGCAGCAGUGAGGAAUCUUCCACAAUGGACGAAAGUCUGAUGGAGCGACACCGCGUGGAGGAUGAAGGGGGAAACUUUGUAAACUUCUUUUCUGAGGGAGCAUAAUGAGAGUACUUCAGGAAUAAGGGACGGCAAAUCUCGUGCCAGCAGCCGCGGUAAUACGAGAGUCCCAAGCAUUGCCCGGAAUCACUGGGUGUAAAGCGUAUGUAGGUGGUUUGGUAAGUAGGGUAUGAAAGACCGAAGCUUAACUUCGUGUUUGUGCUCUAAACUGCCAUUCUUGAAUUAGGAAGAGGUAAGCGGAAUUCUAAGUGUAGGGGUGCAAUCCGUAGAUACUUAGAAGAACACCAAAAGCGAAGGCAGCUUACUGGGACUAUAUUGACACUGAGAUACGAAAGCGUGGGGAGCGAAAAGGAUUAGAUACCCUUGUAGUCCACGCCCUAAACGAUGAUAAUUAAGUGUUGCGCUUGUCGCAGUGCUGUAGCUAACGCGUUAAAUUAUCCACCUGAGAAGUACGGUCGCAAGAUUAAAACUCAAAGGAAUAGACGGGGACCCACACAAGCAGUGGAUCAUGUUGUUUAAUUCGACAAUAAACGGGGAACCUUACCCAGACUUGACAUCCUAGGAAUCCACUGGAAACAGAGGAGUGCUCGCAAGAGAGCCUAGAGACAGGUGCUGCAUGGGG